GUAGAUACUCCACACAAUCAAACUUCUUAUUAACAACCCCAAUUCAUAAACGGAAACUGCAAACUUCGGAUAAUAUCAAAAUUAAACAUGCUACAAACAAACUUCCAAAACGUAAUACUCUUUGUGUGCUCUCAUAAAGUCCCCUCUAAUGAAUGUGUAACUUGUUCGAUGUCACUUACAAGGGAACUAACUCGAUGCAACCAGUCAACCUUUGAAACACACGCCCAUGACAAAGCAUUUCCCUUUGCAGAGUGAAAUGGGGGAGAAUGCGGAUAAGAAUUACAAGACUGAAAAUAACUUACUAUGGAGAGCUGAUUUUUUUUUGGAGCAGAGGACCAGAAAGCAUAGUGUCACAUCCAUUUACAGAGUUGCAGCUCAAGAAAAAAAUGUAAUUUAUCGAAUUCCAUAAAAAUUCACUUUGUAUGGAUAGCUCAAGUUGAGAACGAAUAUUAAGGUUUUGAAAAUUGAGCAAUAUGAAUGGUUCAGUAUUGGUCCGAGAUGGUACAAUAGACAGAUCACAUAAAACUUCUGUAUGGAUUGGGGGUUAUA
This is a long non-coding RNA of Harmonia axyridis, 549 nucleotides long. RefSeq lists it as uncharacterized. Lineage: Eukaryota; Metazoa; Arthropoda; Insecta; Coleoptera; Coccinellidae. The transcript has 2 exons. The record is from RefSeq and is a predicted model, not a curated record.